Molecule: transfer RNA, 75 nt
Organism: Camelus ferus (Wild Bactrian camel)
Lineage: Eukaryota; Metazoa; Chordata; Mammalia; Artiodactyla; Camelidae
Rfam family: tRNA
About the family: Transfer RNA (tRNA) molecules are approximately 80 nucleotides in length.
Source: Rfam
GGAAGUGUACAGCUCAAGCAGUAGAGCGCAUGCUUAGCAUGCAUGAGGUCCUGGGUUCAAUCCCCAGCACCUCCU